RNAcentral lists this ribosomal RNA (301 nucleotides) under uncultured bacterium. Its description in RNAcentral is "partial 16S ribosomal RNA". It matches the Rfam family "Bacterial small subunit ribosomal RNA", at positions 509 to 809 of the family's 1533-position model. The record is from RNAcentral.
CAGUCGCCGCGGUAAUACGGAGGGUGCAAGCGUUAAUCGGAAUUACUGGGCGUAAAGCGCACGCAGGCGGUCUGACAAGUCAGAUGUGAAAUCCCCGGGCUUAACCUGGGAACUGCAUUUGAAACUGUCAGGCUGGAGUCUUGUAGAGGGGGGUAGAAUUCCAGGUGUAGCGGUGAAAUGCGUAGAGAUCUGGAGGAAUACCGGUGGCGAAGGCGGCCCCCUGGACAAAGACUGACGCUCAGGUGCGAAAGCGUGGGGAGCAAACAGGAUUAGAUACCCGUGUAGUCCCUGUCUCUUAUAA